GAUGAACGCUGGCGGCGUGCCUAAUACAUGCAAGUCGAGCGAACGGACGAGAAGCUUGCUUCUCUGAUGUUAGCGGCGGACGGGUGAGUAACACGUGGAUAACCUACCUAUAAGACUGGGAUAACUUCGGGAAACCGGAGCUAAUACCGGAUAAUAUUUUGAACCGCAUGGUUCAAAAGUGAAAGACGGUCUUGCUGUCACUUAUAGAUGGAUCCGCGCUGCAUUAGCUAGUUGGUAAGGUAACGGCUUACCAAGGCAACGAUGCAUAGCCGACCUGAGAGGGUGAUCGGCCACACUGGAACUGAGACACGGUCCAGACUCCUACGGGAGGCAGCAGUAGGGAAUCUUCCGCAAUGGGCGAAAGCCUGACGGAGCAACGCCGCGUGAGUGAUGAAGGUCUUCGGAUCGUAAAACUCUGUUAUUAGGGAAGAACAUAUGUGUAAGUAACUGUGCACAUCUUGACGGUACCUAAUCAGAAAGCCACGGCUAACUACGUGCCAGCAGCCGCGGUAAUACGUAGGUGGCAAGCGUUAUCCGGAAUUAUUGGGCGUAAAGCGCGCGUAGGCGGUUUUUUAAGUCUGAUGUGAAAGCCCACGGCUCAACCGUGGAGGGUCAUUGGAAACUGGAAAACUUGAGUGCAGAAGAGGAAAGUGGAAUUCCAUGUGUAGCGGUGAAAUGCGCAGAGAUAUGGAGGAACACCAGUGGCGAAGGCGACUUUCUGGUCUGUAACUGACGCUGAUGUGCGAAAGCGUGGGGAUCAAACAGGAUUAGAUACCCUGGUAGUCCACGCCGUAAACGAUGAGUGCUAAGUGUUAGGGGGUUUCCGCCCCUUAGUGCUGCAGCUAACGCAUUAAGCACUCCGCCUGGGGAGUACGACCGCAAGGUUGAAACUCAAAGGAAUUGACGGGGACCCGCACAAGCGGUGGAGCAUGUGGUUUAAUUCGAAGCAACGCGAAGAACCUUACCAAAUCUUGACAUCCUUUGACAACUCUAGAGAUAGAGCCUUCCCCUUCGGGGGACAAAGUGACAGGUGGUGUAUGGUUGUCGUCAGCUCGUGUCGUGAGAUGUUGGGUUAAGUCCCGCAACGAGCGCAACCCAUAAGCUUAGUUGCCAUCAUUAAGUUGGGCACUCUAAGUUGACUGCCGGUGACAAACCGGAGGAAGGUGGGGAUGACGUCAAAUCAUCAUGCCCCUUAUGAUUUGGGCUACACACGUGCUACAAUGGACAAUACAAAGGGCAGCGAAACCGCGAGGUCAAGCAAAUCCCAUAAAGUUGUUCUCAGUUCGGAUUGUAGUCUGCAACUCGACUACAUGAAGCUGGAAUCGCUAGUAAUCGUAGAUCAGCAUGCUACGGUGAAUACGUUCCCGGGUCU
Molecule: ribosomal RNA, 1372 nt
Filed under: uncultured bacterium
Lineage: Bacteria
Description: bacterial SSU rRNA
Rfam family: Bacterial small subunit ribosomal RNA
Source: RNAcentral